This 468-nucleotide ribosomal RNA is filed under the name uncultured bacterium. Its description in RNAcentral is "partial 16S ribosomal RNA". It matches the Rfam family "Bacterial small subunit ribosomal RNA", at positions 28 to 507 of the family's 1533-position model. The record is from RNAcentral.
GACGAACGCUGGCGGCGUGCUUAACACAUGCAAGUCGAACGGAAAGGCCCUGCUUUUGUGGGGUGCUCGAGUGGCGAACGGGUGAGUAACACGUGAGUAACCUGCCCUUGACUUUGGGAUAACUUCAGGAAACUGGGGCUAAUACCGGAUAGGAGCUCCUGCUGCAUGGUGGGGGUGGGAAAGUUUCGGCGGUUGGGGAUGGACUCGCGGCUUAUCGGCUUGUUGGUGGGGUAGUGGCUUACCAAGGCUUUGACGGGUAGCCGGCCUGAGAGGGUGACCGGCCACAUUGGGACUGAGAUACGGCCCAGACUCCUACGGGAGGCAGCAGUGGGGAAUAUUGCACAAUGGGCGGAAGCCUGAUGCAGCAACGCCGCGUGCGGGAUGACGGCCUUCGGGUUGUAAACCGCUUUCGCCUGUGACGAAGCGUGAGUGACGGUAAUGGGUAAAGAAGCACCGGCUAACUACGUG